Molecule: long non-coding RNA, 514 nt
Filed under: Glycine max (soybean)
Lineage: Eukaryota; Viridiplantae; Streptophyta; Magnoliopsida; Fabales; Fabaceae
Description: long non-coding RNA (GMAX_LNC003627)
Source: RNAcentral
AAUUAAAGUGAUAUUUAAACCUUAUAGGGUUAUCCAGUCCUAGAUUGCUGGCGCUGUUUAUAGAACUGAGUGCCGGAAUAGCGGACAAGAUUGAAGCCUACAUUUUAUUUGCUGCAGCAGACUCAUAUGGUUUUACUUGGAUAGGACAUGGCUGAGGUUCCAAUUAUGAAGUAAACCCUUUUUUCUCUCACCCAAUUGAAAUUUGAAAAUAUGUUUGGCUAGGUAUUCAUGAAUACUUUCUCUUUUGCUUCUUUCAGGUUCUUCCACCUUUGGUACUAUCCUCAAGCGAAUAUUGAAAUCUUUGGCCAGGUACAUGAUAUUACAAUCAGUUCCCACUAAAUGUUGAUGAUUUCUAAUUAUGCUCCUCAAACUGAGGACUCUCCCUAGAAAAUUAUGUACCUGUGCUGUCUAUUCCAUUAAGUAGUACUAAUAAAUAGCAUCAAUUUGCAGCCUUUGACGGACACAUUGUGGCAAGGCAUUAUAAUAAGGCCUUCUAGAUCAAUAUAUCAUACUC